CGGGGUGUAGCGUAGCCCGGUAUCGCGUCUGCUUUGGGAGCAGAAGGCCGUCAGUUCGAAUCUGGCCACCCCGACUA
RNAcentral lists this transfer RNA (77 nucleotides) under Siphonobacter sp. BAB-5385. Its description in RNAcentral is "tRNA-Pro". It matches the Rfam family "tRNA". Rfam says of the family: Transfer RNA (tRNA) molecules are approximately 80 nucleotides in length. Their secondary structure includes four short double-helical elements and three loops (D, anti-codon, and T loops). Lineage: Bacteria; Pseudomonadati; Bacteroidota; Cytophagia; Cytophagales; Cytophagaceae. The record is from RNAcentral. RNAcentral also lists the same sequence under 2 other names.